UACGAAGGGGGCUAGCGUUGCUCGGAAUCACUGGGCGUAAAGCGCACGUAGGCGGAUCCUUAAGUCGGGGGUGAAAUCCUGGAGCUCAACUCCAGAACUGCCUUCGAUACUGAGGAUCUCGAGUCCGGGAGAGGUGAGUGGAACUGCGAGUGUAGAGGUGAAAUUCGUAGAUAUUCGCAAGAACACCAGUGGCGAAGGCGGCUCACUGGCCCGAUACUGACGCUGAGGCACGAAAGCGUGGGAGCAACAGGG
RNAcentral lists this ribosomal RNA (252 nucleotides) under uncultured bacterium. RNAcentral describes it as "partial 16S ribosomal RNA". It matches the Rfam family "Bacterial small subunit ribosomal RNA", at positions 524 to 776 of the family's 1533-position model. The record is from RNAcentral.